This 143-nucleotide small RNA is filed under the name Tepidibacillus decaturensis. Its description in RNAcentral is "c-di-AMP riboswitch aptamer (ydaO/yuaA leader)". It matches the Rfam family "c-di-AMP riboswitch aptamer (ydaO/yuaA leader)". From Rfam's summary of the family: This family represents a conserved RNA structure found upstream of the ydaO and yuaA genes in Bacillus subtilis and related genes in other bacteria. The ydaO/yuaA element is thought to act as a genetic "off" switch for the ydaO and yuaA genes in its native state. RNAcentral also lists the same sequence under 1 other name. The record is from Rfam by way of RNAcentral. Lineage: Bacteria; Bacillati; Bacillota; Bacilli; Caryophanales; Bacillaceae.
UAUAUUUCUACGCUGAAUCAAACUUGAGCGGGGGAACCAUUUCUGUGAUGAAAUUGGUCACUAGGGGUGAAUCCUUAAAAUAGGUAGGGCGACUCUCACGUCCGAAUCCGACAGCUAACCUCGUAAGCGUAUAGGGAGAAGGA